AACUUCUGAAUGUGACCUCGGAUCAGGUAGA
RNAcentral lists this ribosomal RNA (31 nucleotides) under Fusarium oxysporum. Its description in RNAcentral is "partial 28S ribosomal RNA". The record is from RNAcentral. Lineage: Eukaryota; Fungi; Ascomycota; Sordariomycetes; Hypocreales; Nectriaceae.